GAUGAACGCUGGCGGCGUGCCUAAUACAUGCAAGUCGAACGCUGAAGGAGGAUCUUGCUCUUCUGGAUGAGUUGCGAACGGGUGAGUAACGCGUAGGUAACCUGCCUGGUAGCGGGGGAUAACUAUUGGAAACGAUAGCUAAUACCGCAUGACAACAGUUAUUGCAUGAUAACUGUUUAAAAGGGGCAACUGCUCCACUACCAGAUGGACCUGCGUUGUAUUAGCUAGUUGGUGAGGUAACGGCUCACCAAGGCGACGAUACAUAGCCGACCUGAGAGGGUGAUCGGCCACACUGGGACUGAGACACGGCCCAGACUCCUACGGGAGGCAGCAGUAGGGAAUCUUCGGCAAUGGACGGAAGUCUGACCGAGCAACGCCGCGUGAGUGAAGAAGGUUUUCGGAUCGUAAAGCUCGGUUGUAAGAGAAGAACGAGUGUGAGAGUGGAAAGUUCACACUGUGACGGUAUCUUACCAGAAAGGGACGGCUAACUACGUG
Molecule: ribosomal RNA, 495 nt
Filed under: uncultured bacterium
Lineage: Bacteria
Description: partial 16S ribosomal RNA
Rfam family: Bacterial small subunit ribosomal RNA
Source: RNAcentral